UUGCUUGCUUUGGCAGCAUAUUCACUAAAAUUGGAAUAAUACAGAAAAGAUAAGCAUGGUCCCUGCAUAAGGAUGACACACAAAUUCAUGAAAAUUCUUAUUUUUCC
Meriones unguiculatus (Mongolian gerbil) is the source of this 107-nucleotide small nuclear RNA. The record is from Ensembl. NCBI's taxonomy places the organism in Eukaryota, Metazoa, Chordata, Mammalia, Rodentia, Muridae.